RNAcentral lists this long non-coding RNA (229 nucleotides) under Daucus carota (carrot). RNAcentral's name for it is "long non-coding RNA (DCAR_LNC003837)". Lineage: Eukaryota; Viridiplantae; Streptophyta; Magnoliopsida; Apiales; Apiaceae. The record is from RNAcentral.
UCCUAGAGGGAGAGUACACGACCUCGGAUGGUCCCGUCUACUUCCUAUCUCUCCCGCAUCCCUCAACAGAGUCCAAGGAACAGCUCAACAUCACGCUCGAUGAGACAACUGGAUGACUCCGCUCAUCGCCUACCUCCGGGACGGAACCCUGCCAAAUGAGCAUAGUAAGGCCCGACAGGUCAAGGCACAUGCGGCCAAAUUCUUCCUGCAAGACGAUAUCCUAUACCGA